Molecule: transfer RNA, 73 nt
Filed under: Aspidoscelis exsanguis
Lineage: Eukaryota; Metazoa; Chordata; Lepidosauria; Squamata; Teiidae
Description: tRNA-Asn
Source: RNAcentral
UGGAUAAAAGCCCGCUGGUUUGGGUUUUUAGCUGUUAAUUAAAUCUUCGUGGGAUCGAGGCCCGCUUAUCCAG